RNAcentral lists this long non-coding RNA (768 nucleotides) under Cucumis sativus (cucumber). RNAcentral describes it as "long non-coding RNA (CSAT_LNC000795)". The record is from RNAcentral. Lineage: Eukaryota; Viridiplantae; Streptophyta; Magnoliopsida; Cucurbitales; Cucurbitaceae.
UAUACAAUCAUGAUAAAGAUCCAUGAGUUCACAAUUUCAUACAGAUAACUUUCAAUGGCUGGUGUCAAGCAAAGGAACAAGUUUAUAAUAAUACAAAGUACGCAUUUUGAGGGGGUUGGGGAAGCUGGAUCAGCACACCUUGUAACAGGUAUCCUUCCCGUUAUUUUUUCACUAAAGGAGAAUGAAUGCCAUAAAUACUGUUUCUAAUUUCCCCCCUUUAUUCCAAUGAACUGAAUCCGAAUUCAUGGGGUUGAAUUCUAUGAUGGCUGCAAAUGACACCAUCAGGGCAUGUAUCUAAACUGUCAACUACUUUAAAAAUCAAAAUGAGUUGAGUUAGAACAGAGGAUGUACACUGAGCUCAUUUUGUACAAUUACAUUUACAGCACUGUAUUGAGAGGGAGAAACACCAAGAACCUAAAUUGCUACCUGACUAACCCAAUUCAUUUGCAAUUUCAAGAUGGGUUCUUCACAAUCUUAACAUUGCUGUAGAAACGCUUCAGGUCCUUUAUAGCCUUCUCCUCGAUUUGAAUUGAACGAAUCGAUGAUGGUGUGUCAACUUCUGGUUUGAACCAGCGGUUUAUUCCACUGGAAUCUGAUGGAGAGCCUUGACCAGAAGUAAUUGAAAAGCCAGCUGUUCUCACCUUUGGACUAUUUGAUAGUACUUGUUGUUUUCCUUUCUGCGAGAUAAGAAAAACAAACAGCAGUGUCAGAUUUCUGCUAGAAUAAAUUAAGAAUUGACUUCAACUUUGAACUAAUCCAAAAAAACAG